CCUACGGGCGGCUGCAGUGGGGAAUAUUGCACAAUGGGCGCAAGCCUGAUGCAGCCAUGCCGCGUGUGUGAAGAAGGCCUUCGGGUUGUAAAGCACUUUCAGCGGGGAGGAAGGCGUUAAGGUUAAUAACCUUGGCGAUUGACGUUACCCGCAGAAGAAGCACCGGCUAACUCCGUGCCAGCAGCCGCGGUAAUACGGAGGGUGCAAGCGUUAAUCGGAAUUACUGGGCGUAAAGCGCACGCAGGCGGUCUGUCAAGUCGGAUGUGAAAUCCCCGGGCUCAACCUGGGAACUGCAUUCGAAACUGGCAGGCUAGAGUCUUGUAGAGGGGGGUAGGAUUCCAGGUGUAGCGGUGAAAUGCGUAGAGAUCUGGAGGAAUACCGGUGGCGAAGGCGGCCCCCUGGACAAAGACUGACGCUCAGGUGCGAAAGCGUGGGGAGCAAACAGGAUUAGAUACCCGGGUAGUC
RNAcentral lists this ribosomal RNA (465 nucleotides) under uncultured Klebsiella sp. Its description in RNAcentral is "bacterial SSU rRNA". It matches the Rfam family "Bacterial small subunit ribosomal RNA", at positions 338 to 795 of the family's 1533-position model. Lineage: Bacteria; Pseudomonadati; Pseudomonadota; Gammaproteobacteria; Enterobacterales; Enterobacteriaceae. The record is from RNAcentral.